CUUACUCUGAAGGUAUGCUUCUCCCUCCACCUUGAUAAAUUAUAAAUAUAUAAUAAUUGAUUUUGCUUUCUUACUAUAAACAAAAUGCAAAUAUUCUAUCAAUAUAAGCGUGUAUAUAAUAAAAAAAAUAUUGUUAGUGUGUCAAUAUAUAUGGAUGCUAAAAUGUACAUGCGAUUGUUUCUUUUUCUGUUUCUAGUUAUUGAAUAUGAUUGAAGUUGUGUACAUGGAAAGCCCAUCAUGAAUUCCAAAAUAAGUCAAAAUAGUUAAUUAAGAAGCGUAAAUACUUCAAUUUUCUAAAGAAAAACAGCAGAUUCAAAAUUCCAAAAUAAUUUGUGAAUUAGGAUUGAUUGUAGAGCUCACAUUAUUUGGUGAAGUUGUACAAGUUAGACUUUAAAAUCUUUAUACUAAUACUUGAAGUUCAAACAAACAAUAUGAAUAUGUUCAAAUGAUGAAUCAUUUUACAUACAUGAGAAUUUUAGAAUUAUUUAUUUCAAAAUGUCAAUUAUUAUGCUCUUCAUUCAUCAUUCCAUCUAACCUAUGAGUAAUACUAACUUAACUCAUUACAACCUAGUAUUUAAAAUGAUAUUGAUCAAGUGUAAUGAGGGUGGUUUCAACAAGACUCCAUUUUUCUCUCAAGCAUCUACAAAAAGUGUUUCUGCCUUCACUUUCGAGUGUGAGGAUCUAUGGAUGUCCAGAAUUAAUUAAAAAAAAAAAAAAGAAUAGUAAAAGAGGCGACUACUGGCCCCUGAUCUCUCAUAUCCCAUGGAAAUUACAAGUUUAAUAUGAAGAAGAGGCUUAUUGUAAAGUGAGAUGCAUGUAAGGAACAUGGACAAUUCUCUUCUUCAGUCGAUGGUCAUAGUCACACCAAGGGAGUGGGCCAAAAGCUUGCAACCAGCAUAGUGAUGUGCUUCUACAAGAGUAUAAUGAUGAUGAGGAAUCAGGAGACGAUGAGUAGUUUCUUUAAUGAUUGUUUUUUCUGAAUAAUUUGUUUCUUUCAAUGAAUUGUUUUUUUUCCAAAUGAUUUGUUUUUAGUUAGAUUUUAAAUGAUUGCUAUAUUGAAUAAUUGCUCUGUAUUUAGACUAUGGUAUUAAAAUUGAUGUAUUUCUUGAAA
Molecule: non-coding RNA, 1111 nt
Organism: Lactuca sativa (garden lettuce)
Lineage: Eukaryota; Viridiplantae; Streptophyta; Magnoliopsida; Asterales; Asteraceae
Source: RefSeq, a predicted model, not a curated record